AGCAGUCGCCGCGGUAACACGAAGGGUGCAAGCGUUACUCGGAAUUACUGGGCGUAAAGCGUGCGUAGGUGGUGGUUUAAGUCCGUUGUGAAAGCCCUGGGCUCAACCUGGGAAUUGCAGUGGAUACUGGGUCACUAGAGUGUGGUAGAGGAUAGUGGAAUUUCCGGUGUAGCAGUGAAAUGCGUAGAGAUCGGAAGGAACAUCUGUGGCGAAGGCGACUAUCUGGGCCAACACUGACACUGAGGCACGAAAGCGUGGGGAGCAAACAGGAUUAGAUACCCCUGUAGUCCCUGUCUCUUAUAC
This 303-nucleotide ribosomal RNA is filed under the name uncultured bacterium. RNAcentral's name for it is "partial 16S ribosomal RNA". It matches the Rfam family "Bacterial small subunit ribosomal RNA", at positions 507 to 807 of the family's 1533-position model. The record is from RNAcentral.